GGACCGUAUCGGAUACUGGGGCGUAAGCGUGCGCAGGCGGUUGUGCAAGACCGAUGUGAAAUCCCCGGGCUUAACCUGGGAAUUGCAUUGGUGACUGCACGGCUAGAGUGUGUCAGAGGGAGGUAGAAUUCCACGUGUAGCAGUGAAAUGCGUAGAGAUGUGGAGGAAUACCGAUGGCGAAGGCAGCCUCCUGGGAUAACACUGACGCUCAUGCACGAAAGCGUGGGGAGCAAACAGGAUUAGAUACCCUGGUAGUCCACGCCCUAAACGAUGUCAACUAGUUGUUGGGGAUUCAUUUCCUUAGUAACGUAGCUAACGCGUGAAGUUGACCGCCUGGGGAGUACGGUCGCAAGAUUAAAACUCAAAGGAAUUGACGGGGACCCGCACAAGCGGUGGAUGAUGUGGAUUAAUUCGAUGCAACGCGAAAAACCUUACCUACCCUUGACAUGCCACUAACGAAGCAGAGAUGCAUUAGGUGCUCGAAAGAGAAAGUGGACACAGGUGCUGCAUGGCUGUCGUCAGCUCGUGUCGUGAGAUGUUGGGUUAAGUCCCGCAACGAGCGCAACCCUUGUCUCUAGUUGCUACGAAAGGGCACUCUAGAGAGACUGCCGGUGACAAACCGGAGGAAGGUGGGGAUGACGUCAAGUCCUCAUGGCCCUUAUGGGUAGGGCUUCACACGUCAUACAAUGGUGCAUACAGAGGGUUGCCAAGCCGCGAGGUGGAGCUAAUCCCAGAAAAUGCAUCGUAGUCCGGAUCGUAGUCUGCAACUCGACUACGUGAAGCUGGAAUCGCUAGUAAUCGCGGAUCAGCAUGCCGCGGGUGAAUACGUUUCCCGGGUCUUGUACACACCGCCCGUCACACCAUGGGGAGUGGGCUUUACCAGAAGUAGUUAGCCUAACCGCAAGGAGGGCGAUUACCACGGUAGGGUUCAUGACUGGGGUGAUACACAAAGGGGGCGCCACACCACAGCCCCCCCAA
Molecule: ribosomal RNA, 978 nt
Filed under: Ralstonia solanacearum
Lineage: Bacteria; Pseudomonadati; Pseudomonadota; Betaproteobacteria; Burkholderiales; Burkholderiaceae
Description: bacterial SSU rRNA
Rfam family: Bacterial small subunit ribosomal RNA
Source: RNAcentral